UGGGGAAUAUUGGACAAUGGGCGAAAGCCUGAUCCAGCGACGCCGCGUGUGUGAAGAAGGCCUGCGGGUUGUAAAGCACUUUUAGUGGGGAUGAAAAGCACAUUGCUAAUACCAGUGUGUCUUGACCUAACCCAAAGAAAAAGCACCGGCUAACUCUGUGCCAGCAGCCGCGGUAAUACAGAGGGUGCGAGCGUUAAUCGGAAUUACUGGGCGUAAAGCGUGCGCAGGCGGUUCGUUAAGUCAGAUGUGAAAGCCCCGGGCUCAACCUGGGAACUGCAUUUGAAACUGGCGGGCUUGAAUGCGGCAGAGGGGGGUGGAAUUCCGCGUGUAGCAGUGAAAUGCGUAGAGAUGCGGAGGAACACCGACGGCGAAGGCAGCCCCCUGGGCCGACAUUGACGCUCAGGCACGAAAGCGUGGGGAGCAAAC
This 426-nucleotide ribosomal RNA is filed under the name uncultured bacterium. RNAcentral's name for it is "bacterial SSU rRNA". It matches the Rfam family "Bacterial small subunit ribosomal RNA", at positions 355 to 773 of the family's 1533-position model. The record is from RNAcentral.